Long non-coding RNA from Mustela lutreola (European mink), 18510 nucleotides. RefSeq lists it as uncharacterized. The transcript is spliced from 3 exons. Lineage: Eukaryota; Metazoa; Chordata; Mammalia; Carnivora; Mustelidae. The record is from RefSeq and is a predicted model, not a curated record.
UUAUCGCCUUCAUUUAUUUAUCUGGUGCGACUUUGUUACUUUUUGAGCCUGGGUUAUUGUUUUUCUAUUUUGAUUCGUAACUAUUUAUUUGGUCCUAGCGAGUUUGAUUCGGUUCCCUAAAAUACCGCUUCGCCCUUAUCAGUUAAUACAAAGGUGGAAGCCAACAUAGGGUGUAAACUGGAGAAAUUUUCUGGCACGGGAGGACCUCAGUGCCAUUUACUUGAGGGGGGAAAGGGAGACUCCACCUUUUAAACUUCCCAAUAAACUUUUUAAUAGCAAGUGUGUUCUCAUUGUCACGUGUCAGAGGAAAAAAAAAUUAAUGUUCUUUGUAUUUGAUUCCGUAAGAAUGAAAGCCAGCCUACAACCUCUGUCUGCCUUUGUAACUAAGACAUUUUCAAUGAGGAGAAAGUACUUUUCUGACGCUAAGUACUAUAUAAAUGUGAGCAAUGCCAACUAGUUUAAGCAAGUAGUGCUCUCUUCCAGUAUUUUCUGGGAUGGAGUCUUUUAAAUAGACUCAUCUUUUUGGAUAAUUCUAAUUGCUAAUUAUUCUUAACUUUAUUAAGAAUUUGUAAGGUUUCAAGUGCAUAAAGGAGAUUCUGUCUUGCCGUGGAUGGGGGGGAGGCGGGAAUGUGGUCUUGGGGUAAAGAGGAACGGGGAGCAAGACUGUGAUAAUCUCUUUGAGAUCUACCCAAAGAAAUCUUGAUCUAUAGAUUGAGGAUCCCUGCUUUAAAUCAAUCCUGUGUACAGUUUAGGGCAGUUUUUCAUCUGUGAAUAGGAACUGUAUCAAAACCCUAGUGUGACCAUGACAAUUGGGUAAUCACACACAAGGCAUCUUUGCUAAUGGAGAGAUUCUGUAAAUAUGUUUCUAGUGAAUACACAGAUAACAGUCACAGUGGAAGGGUCAGGUGCCACAAAUCAUAGAUUACUCUGCCAAGGGUUGCCAGCCAUCUGAGGCUUGGAAGGACAUUAACCGCCUUUGCAUUCUCCGAAUACUCUCCUCAGUUCAUGAUUUCACUUACUUGACCCUACUUCUGUUAUUUAAAAGCUGGCAGGCACAAUCAAGGGCAAGCAGGUUGGCUACCUACCCUUCUGGCAGCUCGCCAGUAUUCCCAUUUAGCUGCCAGCAGACAAGGAGAAGAGUGAAUCAGUCAUGUAAUCCUACAGUAGCAUCUAGAAGGUAUCAGGAAAACUUCAGUGGCAGCAGGAGGGUCCACCAAUCAGCCCUGUUUCUAAAUUCUCCACUUUGUAUCUGUAAUAAAUCCCUCUGGGGGAAUUCACUAGUGGGAAGCGCAGGGAGGGAAAUGACACAGGGGCUCUCAAGCAGUUUCCUUGAAAAGUAAGUUGUGAGUGCAUUACUUGAUAGUCCCAAUUUUGAAAAUGGCCAUAAAUAGAAAUAGGAUUCUCGUUACUAACAGGAGCAAAAAUCAGGAAAGGCGUCCCUUAGCAGCAGUAGGGGGAAAAAAAUCAAGAGCUUUUAAUAAAAUUUGGAGGAUUAUAAUUUCUUGUCAAUAGAACAAACUUCUGCCUGUUCCCAUUUGCUUUCAUAGAUAAAUUAUUGCUAACUUAAUAAGAUUUAGGCACUCCACUUUCAGAGAAAUUAUAUAAAUUUGAGAUUAUAUAAAAAUAGCUUUUUCUUACCUCAAAGUGAAACAAGUAGGUAUUUGGCAUACAGGGACAUUGUAAAAGCAAAAUACAUCUGACUCUAACAUUAGCAUUUUUUCCUUGAGGAUGUAAAAUCUAGAAUUCUAACAUAAAAGAACCAUAGGGUGAAACGACACUUCCUGGGUCUCCUUUGUUGGCAGGCUAGGCCCUUUUUUCAUACUCUUAUGUUGGAAACAGCUUUGGGGUCUAGAAUGAACUAUCAGGAUUGAGGAUGAAGUCAUAACUUUUGCUAGUAGGUACCAUGAAAAAAAAGUAAGUAGACUGACUUCAUCAAUGACGUUUUCUCCAGGGGAUUGCCUUUGUAAGAGGCCUUGUUGCACUUUUUAAGCAGAAAGGUACAAUUCACUGAAGUAUGAAUGUUCAGGAAGGCUAGCAAAGUGUAUUUUUAGAAUAAUAUUGUAUUUUCUAAUAUGUCAGGAGGUCUCUAGAUGUGAGAUAUAAAAAACCUAAUUUUUGUCAAAAUUAGACUAUCAUUACAUUAGUGUGUUCUUAAAGAAUGAAGGUGGACAUUACUCAUCUACAGUAGUAAAGGGGAAGAAUAUUUAAAAACCAGAUGACAGCUAUGUGCCUUGUAAUUUCAACAAUACUGAAUGAUGAACAAUCUUCCAAGUUCAUUUAAGCAGGAAUGGGAGAGAAUCCCUAUAAAAGUGAAUUUAAAAAGAUCUUGUACAAAUACAAAUCUUGUACAAAUAAAAAAAAGAUCUGUACAAAUAUGCCUCACCCUCCAUUUUAUUACCUUAUAAUGCAAAUAAUUACUUGCUCUUGCUACUAAGAGCCAUUUUAAUGUAAUGGAUUCAUUUCAGACCCUCAAGAAAACCAAAGCCUAUGUCCUUUUAUAAGUUUGGGAGGAACUUUCAAAUGGCUGUGCCCAAUUUGAAGACAUAGAUAUAUAUAUUUCCUGCUUAUUAAGUUACAAACUUAGAAUUUAUGCUGAUGAACAUUUUCCACCUUGACUAAUACCUCCUGCUAGAGAAGUUUUCUUUUCAAGAAAACAAAUAACAAGUGGACAGAAGGAAAUUCUAAGCCUGUGUGAUUUGAUAGUGGUCGCAUUUUACAUCCUGAAAUUUGGAGCUAUAAAUAGCCAUUUUAAAAUUUUGUGUCUCUUGGUUAAUAUCUUGUAUAGUUCCUUGCACAUAAUAGUUGUUCAAUAAGUUUGCUGAAGAAAUGAAUUUGUGAAACAUUUUUACUAUUUACCUUGUAAUCUUCUCUGAUGUGCAAAAAUGAAAAGAAAAAGGGGGUAUUAACAUUUGUCUCUUUUUAUGUGAACAAAAUAUUGUUAAAAUUCUAGGUGAGUUUGACUCAAAAUGCCAGAAAAGAAGCCCCAUUCUAUGCUAGUUAGUAAGGGAGGAAUCUCUGACAUUUCCCUGCCUAUUCAAAUGAAAACUGUUUGAGGUAAUACUGCAAUGUUUAAAACAAACAACCUCCCCCCCCAAGCACAGAAUGAACUUUACAAAUUAAUGACUUGAAAAAUCCUUAGAGUUAAUCUCUUUUUACAUUCCAGACUUCAAUUUUCUAUGGCACACUCACAUUUCAAGACCUUUAAAAAUGCUAAAGGGUAGCCAUCUUCCGAAGGGGUGAGGGGAACAGAAGGUCACAAAUCCUAUUGUUCUUUUUUUGGGGGGCGGGGUUGAGAACAGGCCAGUGUGGUCUCAUCUACUAGAAAAGAAUUUAAGAACUAGUGUCGAUUGUUAAUGAUGAUGCCACACAGGGCUGCUCUAUCUAGGGAAGGUGGUACAGAGGCCAAGAGGAAUCUGUUCUUCAAGAGCAAUGGCUGCUCUUACUGUGUUCCCAACUCUUAGCCCUUAGUGAGCACCCCUCACAUUUGAGUAGGGGGCUGCAGCUUUGGGGCACCAUGGAACCAAUGGAAUGGAGGUAGGGGGAAUCAAAAGAUUGGAAGUAGCUUCAGAGUUGGGCGGUCCUCUACCUUAUAUUGGUCCAAAAACAGCUGAUUUGGGGCCUGGCUCAAGAUCAUGUACAUGUUUUAAAAAAAGGCAGACUGGCAGAUCCUGUUCCAUUUUGAAUGUGAAGCCUUUCAUCAAUGAGUAUGAGGGUAUUACUUCCAGUGGAAAAUGUGUGCUUAUAUACCAAGGACGUCCUUGGCUUCACCUGGGCAGGCUCCCUAGGAGAUGAUUUGCCAUCUCCCUAGCAUUUUCUCAGGAAGAUGAGGAAAACUGGAAGGAGCCAAACAGCAAAAGACCCUACAUAAGAUAAAUCUCAAAUCUAAAUUCCAUUUAUGACUAAACAUCCUCUUUUAAAGCAGUCCCUUGGUGUGAAGAUAUGGGUAUUGUUUCCUGUAUAUCCAAAUAUACAUUUAUACUCUUAGCAUUGUAAUAGGUCAUCCUUCCACUUGUGUACCUAACAAGAAAUGGAUCCCUAAAAGGAAAUGUUCCUUACCAAUGUCUGGUACAAUGAUGACCUACCGUUUCCCCAAGAAUCCUCUUUUUUUAUUCACAAGUAGAUAAGAGUUGGUAUUUUGUCACCAGGUUCAUGCCAAUGUCAAUUCAUUAUAGUAAAGGAGUAUUUAUAACAUUAUACUUUUUAAAUAGAAACCAAAAGCAGAGGUUGAUAGAAAUAUCCUGCUAUCGAUACAUAUCCAGUUUAACCAUUAUAUGGAAGAACUGGGUGGUAUCACCCUAAGACAUAAAGGUUUUAUGAAAGAAAAAUAGAUGGCCUAUUCAUUGAUUUAUUUGUUCAGUCAGUAAACAUUCAUGAGUGCUUACACCAGGCAAAGUUCUAUGCAUGGAGAAAAAGAUAUGUCUCUGACCUCAAAGACGUGUUUGGAGAGACAGCCAUGAAAAUAGACGAGUACAGUUUGAUGCAAUGAGUAGAGUAAUGUGAGGUCUGUGCAAAAUGCAGUGGAAUUCUAAGGGAAGAAGCAUCUGUAUGUGGCAGAAGGAGAAAAGGUAACACUUGAAUUCACUCUUGAAGGAGAAAUAGAGGUCCAGGUGGAGGAAAAAGUGUGUGCAAAGGCCCUGAGGCAGUGAAAAGCAUAUUCUGUUCAGGAGAUCAUACCUAGAUUAUAUUGCCAGAAUAGGAAGUUUGAGGAGACCGAUGGGAGUACAACUGAAGGGGUGCUAUGGGCUAAGCACUUUGAAGAUCCUCAAAUGCCAGACUAAGAAGUGUAGAUUUAUCUUACAUCAGAUGGAAAGUCAUUGAAAAAAUUCAAACAUAAUCAGAUGUGUAUUUUAGAAAGACCACGCAGUCCAUGGACUGGAGCAUGGAUUAAAAGUGGGGGGCGAACUAGUGACAGUGAGCCUUACUGGUGGUUGUUUUUACCUCCCCUCCUUGGUAUAAGUGUGUUAAUGAGUGACACUUUAUUAAAUAGGUACAAAUUCUCAAACCCUAAGCAAAAAGGAAGGCAUAAAAAUAUUUUCCAAAGAGGCAUCUUUUUGAGGAAGAUAAUUAUGCACAUUGGUAAAGACCACAGAUUAAUUUCGUAUGCCCCAUGGAUAGCUUUUAGGGUCAAGAGGGCAUUGCUCAUUGUUUUAUUUUACUGUAUGAUUGACAUCCACCUGAAAUGACACUUCGGUUACUGCAUUCAAAGACUGUGUGGUGUUGUAGAAAGAGUGCUACCAAAAGUCAAGAGACGUGUCUCUAGUUGAGCUUUAUGUCUCUGUCUUUGAAAGACCUUAGGGAAGUCACUUUACCUCUCUGGGCUUUCUCUUCCUCAGUUGUUAAGUUGAGGGCACAGUGUAAGUUAUUUGUAACAUUACUUUAUUUAUAUUGUUGUAUGAUUUGUGAGUUUGCCCUUAUUAAUCUCUCCUAAUGUUUAUUUCUUACCUUGUCUUUAUGCUUUCUCACAAUUUUAAGAGAGACAGAAGUAUUUGGAGAAUAACGUGUCCCAGGACAUGUUAUUUAGGACAGAAUUCUGUCUUUAUUGCACUUAAUAUACUUAGCUUUCCUACUGGAAAUAUUAGGAUGUUGGUAGCUGUUUUGAAACUGUGGCGUUUCUGCUUGCCUGAGUCACAUUCUAUCCUCAUGAGCACAAAAGGAGGACUAUUUAAUCACUUUCAACAUCUACCAGUCUAAAUUAAUAACUUACCUCUACUUUUUAAGUUAUACAUUUUCCCUUCCAAAAGGAUUGUUUCUUAGGUCAGAUAAUUAUAUGUUCUCAGAAAGCUGGUGUAUGGAUAAAAUGGUGGCACUCAAAAUUAUAGAAAUUGUACUGCUUCUAAUAAUACUCUAUUUUAAAUUCUGCAUUUCCUUGGAAACUUCCUGUUAUUUAAUGCUCUUUUUUUUUUUUUCCUUCACUUAAGAGGCUGUUUACAUUAGUAAUAUAUCUCCUAGAGCUCUGGGAGUUCAGAGGGUUCGUACCUACAAAACAGCACAGCACUGUGACCGUGCUUUCAAAGACAUGCAGGGGUCCCAGGGCAAAUCAAAAUGUUUUUAAAUGUAUGACAUGUGUGAAGUUGAUGAAAAUUCAUGACUUCUCUCUGUCAGGGCUGCUUGAGCUUAAAUCAUCAGAGAAAGGUUCUGUUUCUGCAGGAUCGGGCAGAGACUGACCGAAUGGCUGCAGUUACCAGGAUUUGAAAACCCAAUAUCAGAAUCUGCCACUGUGUGUGUGUCUGCCCUGAGCGCUCUCUUCUUUAGCAACAGGACAUUUGCACAACACGGGAGCAUCUUUUCUUCUUCCCUUGGCCCUGACCUUGUAAAAUAUGAUACAAAGUUUUUCAUGGCUUUUAAGUCCCGCACAUGGGAAAUCUUGCUGGAGAUACACGAUGAUUAAAAUGCCUUCCUUAAAAGAUGUGCGUAAGUAGGUGUCAAGUGGACGAUUGUGGGCGGUCAAGACCAACCUCAUCGAGAGUCUCAAGGCUAAACACACUGAUUUUUGUUAAUCCCAGGAAAUUUUACCCAGUUUUCUAAAUGUGUUGAAUUUUGAGUUUAUGUCCACAAAGCUGAAGUCGGUUCUGUGAACCUCAAUUAAGGUCAACCAUAGCUCUUGAAUCCGCCCUAAAGAACUCUUUGGAAGAUUUGUAUGUUUACUUGUAGUUUUAUGGUUUUAUUAACACAAGUACGACAUGCAACUAAGCUGUCUAUUCGCCUUCUUUGCUGGCAUUGGGACUGGUGGCUCUGAUGGCCAGAGGGGCUGCUCUUUCUACCCUGGCUUUGGGGUUCUCAGAGGCGACAUGGUGAGCAGUCUCUGCAUGGUGAGAUUUGCGGCACAUCGGUGGCACCUCAAGCCCCUUGAUGCCAUGCACUAGGAACUUCCAGAAGCCCCUGGGCAGCAUGCGCUUUGUUUUCUUGCUGCUCCUGGAAGCUGCGUUUGGGCAUCAAGAUCUAGCCCAAGAAUCUUCCAUUGCACCCAUUGUCAGUGCCUCUGGGUUUCUGCCAUUUUGCACUUCACUUGACCUAUCGGUCUGAGCAGUGCUGGAUGCACUCCGUGGUCCUCUCUUUAAUAAUCUUGGCCUUCACUGAGGUCUGAGAGCAGCUGUGAUGCUGCCGAGGAGGAGAUGGCAGCCACCUCCAUGGGCAGUGCCAAGGGAGAGCUGGAGAAUUUUUAAAGUAAUGCUUACUCUGAGUCAAAAAUGAUCACUAAACCCCAACAUCUACACACCACAGGAACCCAAGAAAUAGUAGACUGACUGCAUGUGAAUGUUUUAAUUACAAAAUUAAUUAAAUAGCAUAUAAAGUGAAAAAAAUUGACUUUCUUUUCUCCUAGCCCCCACAAUCCCAUUAUCCAUGAGUAACCAUUAAAAAUAAUUUUUCAUAUGUAUUUUUUAAAGAUUGUAUUUAUUUAUUUGAGGGACAGAAAGAGCUAGAGAGAAAGAGAGAGAGAGUGAGCACAAGCAGGCGGAGAGUGAGAGGGAGGGUCAGAAGCAGCAGCAGCAGACUCCCCACUGAGCAGGGAGCCUAAUGCGGGGCCUGAUCCCAGGACCCUGAGAUCAGGACCUAAGCUGAAGGCAGACAUGCAACUGACUGAGCCACCCAGGCGUCCCAGUUUCAUAUAUAUUUUAAUAGACUUACAAUUUUUUCCUUUUCUUUUUUUAAAGUAAUCUUGAUACCUAACAGAGGAGCUUGAACUCACAACCCCGAGAUCAACAGUUGUAUGCUUUACCGACUGAGCUGCCAGGUGCCCUAAUGAGUAGACUUUUUUUUAGAUGUAUUUAUUUGUCAGAGAGAUAGAACACAAGCAGAGGAGCAACAGGCAGAGGGAGAAGUAGGUAGAGGGAGAAGCAAGCUUCCUGCUGAGUGGGGAGCCUGAUGUGGGGCUGGUUCCCAGGGCCCUGGGAUCAAGACCUGAACUGAAGGCAGCUGCUUAACCCACUGAGCCACCCAGGCAUCCCAUGAAUAGACUUUUAAAAUUCAUAGGCAAGCAUAUCUUAAGUCACAAAUAAAAUCAUACAAUGUAUUUACUAUACUGAAUUUGCUUGAAUUCACUUAGCCUUGUACGUUGGCUAUCAUUCCAUUCCCUACACAUGGGUCUACUUCAUUCUUCUAGCAGCUGCGCAGAUAGCAAAUAAUACGCUAUUAUGGAUAUAACAUUCCCAUAUUGAUGGAUACUUAAGUUAUUUUUUAGUCUUGUUUUUUCAAAUAAUACUUCAGCAAACAUAUGCAUAUUUUUGUGCACUUUUAUAAGUGUAUUUGUAGAAUUAAUUGCCCAAAGUAAAAUUGCUAUAUAAAAACACAUUUACAAGUUUUGAAUGAUAUUGCCACCUUAAUGACACAACCAAAUUGCAUCAAUUUACCUUUCGCUGAAAGUUUUUGAGAGGCAGGGAUUUUGAAAAAGGGCUUCACUGAGUUCUGUGUGUUACAUAUCUGCGUGCCAGUCCAUCUCUUCCAGUUUGCCGAAACAUAGUUGGGUUGCAGCUGGGAUGGUUGGUGGUGACCUAGUGGAGAGCGAGUGUUCCCGUGACAUCUGUGCUGGGACAGCAGGGAGGGCUGGGGAGGGGAAAGCACCGAGAUGCAGAGGAGAAGAGCCGGGAAGUAUGGCUGCCAUCGGUUUAGGAAUGGUCCAGUCUUCGCCAUGUCUCUUUGCUAGCCUGUUUUACCAUUCAGUGUCUCUGCGUGUGAAUAACCCAGAAAAUACACAUGACACCAUCCUAGUUCCUGGAUUUGAAGAGACAUCCUCAUCCUUGAAACCUCUACUCCUCAUUCAAUGUUUUCAUUUGGCCUGGCAUUUUAGAAGUCCUAUUUUCAUCCUUAAAUAGAAACUUAGAAGUGCCUCUUGAUCUAUACCCUAGAUCUCAGCCUUUUAAAUUGAGGGGUUACUUUAAUGUUCUCAAGGUUAUAGUUACACAGGAAUUUUAUUUUGUAUUCAGCAUGAACAUGCUAGGUACUAUGUAGGGGCUGUGGAUGCAAAGAUGAAUGAGAUAUAAUUCUGCAUUCUAGAAGCUCAUAAAAUAAUGACGAGACAGAUGGCACUAACUAAAAUACAGGCCCCUGAUUGGUUAAGUGUUAAAACAGAGGUAUUUGAUCAAAAUUCUAUGAUGUCCCACUUCUGGAAAUAUAGCCUACAGAUAGAUUUGUGCAUGCACAAAAGGACACAGAGACCAGAGGUGUUCCUCACAGUAUUGUUUGUGAUGGUAAGACUUAAAUAACAUUCUGAGUGUCUAUCAACAAGGACACUCUAUGUGGCUUAAUAAAUGCUCUCUAUGUACUGAUAUGGAGUAAUCUGCAGGAUAUGUUUUUAUAUGGAAAAAAGCAAGCUGUGGAACAUGUGUAGUAUAUGUUGCCUUCCACAUAAAAAAUAUAGAAAAAUAAGACUGUGUUAGUGUUUGCUGGUCUAUGCAUAAAACAUCGGAAGACUUCUUAAGAAACAACAAGUGCUAAUCUUUGGGGUGGGGGUGGGCGUCAGAGAUUAGUGGGGUGGAUGAGAAAAGAGGGUGAAACAGAUUCUCAAUGUAUACCUUUAUAUGUCAUUUUCAAUUUUGAACCAUGUGAAUGAAUUAUUUUUAAAUUAUAUUAAAUAGGGGCGUCUGGGUGGCUCAGUGGGUUAAGCCUCUGCUUUCGGCUCAGGUCAUGAUCUCGGAGUCCUGGGAUCGAACCCCACGUCAGGCUCUCUGCUCAGCAGGGAGUCUGCUUCCCCCCACCCCCCGCCCGCCUGCCUCUCUGCCUCCUUGUGAUCUCUCUCUCCCUGUCAAAUGAAUAAAUACAAAUCUUUAAAAAAUUAUAUUAAAUAAAUUUAAGUUAUAAAGUCCCUGCCUGCCCCCCCCCCCCACAGUGCUUUGCAUUCUCUGAGGUAUUUGCGCACGCUUAGCUACAUUUACACUGGAUCCAGAAUGUAACAUGGGACUGGGCAAGGAGACUCUGAACAGGAGAAAGAAGCCUUCUUAGAAACUACUGGAUUUUUCUUACCACAAUAUUACACCGUCUCUCAUGAAAACGAUUUGGAGCAGAGCUAGGAGAAAGAAUACCAUUCUCUAAAAAGUUCUCAGAGUUGGAAUAUAAACAGGACAUAUGCCAGACAUGGGAACAAUUUUAAAAGUAGAUUUCAUUCUUUAAACCUCCUCCAGAAAAGGCUGAGGGUGGCCUCCUCUGGUUUCUCAGGAGAGCUUUAUAGGAGAGGCAUGAUUUGCCCAUACCUUCGGUUGGUCUGCUUAAGUCAUGAAAUUGAGCAAUGUGAAUGUUUUCUUCUUUAAGCUUUAAAUAAAGGUCUUAAGCUGAGUUACAAUAAGAGAGACCAGCCGUCUUGCCAGAGAAAUGCUACUUUUCUUUGACGAGGACGUGGCUCUGUAAAUUCGCCAGAACACCACAUUCAGGUAAUUUGGAGAAAGACAGUGGGAUAGAAUUAGAUUUUGAGAAUUCUCUGGUCACUUUCUGUAAACUGAGACUAUGAGGUAGAGAAUAAAUAACUUGAGAGAAAAAUAAUUUCAUGAGUAUAAAAGACCAUGUCAGAAGUUUGUGGACGAGUGACACAAUCAUCACCCAAGCCACCCAGAGACAGAAAAGGCCACUGGUGCUGAGGAGGAACUUGACUUUCCUAUACCUUGUGGUAUACCUGAUUCUCCUCACCAUCACUACUACCACCGUUACUGCCCCUGCCUUUUCAGCUCAUUGCGGCCAUGUUUGUCCAUAAGACGACACCCAAGCGAUAAGCUCUGGUUCCCCAGGAAGCUGGUGGUUAACUGGGUGGAAACACAGAGGUGAGAGAGCAUUGAAGGCAGGUGACUCACCACCUUCCUUUCAUCAGUUUCUUUAAUUGCGUUCUCCUAUCCACCCCCACCCUGCCCAUAUUUACUCGCUCAGCUGGUUUCAAAUCAGUCCUGUGGGAAGGGUCUGAAAAAUUUAGAUUUAGAUUUCGAACACAAGAACGUGUUAAGGGAGCUACUGCCAGGAUCAGGGCCACUUGUGACGUCACAUCAGUAAAAGGCAUUCAAGUGAGAGACAAUAAUGAUGGUAGUUGUUUAGCCCAAAUGGACAUCAGUUGUAAUUCUUUCAAUGUAAUUCUUUGGGCAGCUAAAUGAAAUACGUUAUCAGUGGAAGUCUUGACCUAAGAGACAUACAUGUAAGAACAUGGGGAAGUUAAAUAAGACUUAUAUACCUUAACAAAAACAAUGGCUUUAUUUGUACUCUUUUUGCAGUUUUAACUAAAUAUUGCAGUGAGUAGUGCUUAUUUUAAACUACUAAGUAUUGGGGCAUUUAUUACCUAUGAUGUGAAAAUACUUCAGGGGUCUUGGAUUAACGCUAUAGUAUUUAGGCACAGAUUAUAGAGACUUACAAUCAAAGACGAUGGUGAGACACAUGACAAAUAUCUCCAUCUUAUAGGACUUAAUUCAGACUUGGUCAGAUCAGCCUACGUCUCACUCCUGGCUUCUCAGGAAUGUCCCCAAGCAAACAUUAUCUGCACUAGGUCCAAGGCUGCCCUGUGAAUUAACCUCCAGGGUAGGGUUAUCUCAGAAAAUACAGGAUGCCUAAUUACAUUUAAUCUCAGAUCCACAAAGAAUAGUUUAUAGUAGAAACAGGCAGACAUACGCCCAGCUCUUCUGCGCUCUGUCUCUGAGGCAAGGUGCCUCACGGGUUUGAAAUCCCCAAAUCCUGAAUUCCAAUCUAGCUUCAUAGUUUGAUUCUCUUAGUGGAUACUGUCUCACCAUCUAUUGUUUAGGCUUGCUUCCUCUUAAUAGGGCAUUUUACUCAUACUGUAUAUUUUCAAAUAAAUUUUUAAACAUUAGUAAUGAAAGGUUAGCUGCCUGGAAUAAUUAUAAUAGAAUUUUAGAGAAAAUUUGAAAAUCCACUUUAUUUCUUACCCCCCAACCCCACCCCACCAAUUUUGAUUUUUCAAAGCAUGUCCUUAGGAUUUGAUGUUAGAUUCAAAUGGUGAGACAGAUGUGGAAUAAGACAGGAGGGCUCCUUUCUGGCUGAGCUUGUACCCCUGGCUUGUUCUCUCGGGGUUGUGGUAAAGGUAGCUACUCAAAGGUUUAAUUUGAAAUUUUCUAAGUCAAGCCAAAUGCCACCAUUACUAAAAUCCAGCAACUAAGGAAAUGGAAGAGCCAUGUGGGAGAAUAAAGAAUAAAAAAUGUGGAGCUGGAAGAUCUGGGAUUGAGGCCUGGCUCUGUACCUGACUUAGCUGUGAGAUCCUAGGAAAGUCAUUCAGCCUCCAGAAGUAUCAGUAUUGGUCUCAAUAAAAUCGAGAUCAUAGGGCAACUAUGACGAGAGAUACUGUGUGUAGGAACGAUUUGGAAACUUGAGUUCAAUCUAGAUGUUUGCAGGGGUGAUGACAAUGAUGGUAAAAAUGGUGGCCAAGGGGCACCUGGGUGGCUCUGUUGGUUAAGCAUCAGACUCUCGGUUUUGGCUCAGGUCAUGAUCUCAGGGUCAUAAAAUCGCGCUCCAUGUUGGGCUCUACACUGAGCAUCGAGGCUGUCUAGGAUUUUCUCUCUCUCCCUCUCCCUCUGCCCUUCCCCCAUAUUACACUCAUGCUAUCAUCCUCUAAAUAAAUAAAUAAAUAAAUAAAAUGGUCGCCAACAGGUAGAAAGGCAUUACAGAAAGUCAGUUAUUAAAGAGAUACUUUAAUUCAGAUCCUAAAAAUGUUUACUUCCUACUCCAUUCACAAGAAAUUAUAUACGUAAGAGUAUUGUUCUCUUGGGUUGGAAAAAAGAAAAGACACGAAAAGCUAAUCCAAUUCCAUAUAUUUUUAGAAGAAAGCUUACUCAAAGAUUUGAGUCUAAAAAUGGAUGUUUAGAGUAGAAUAUUUUAUUUAAGAUCACACUGAAAAAUGAGUAAUAGAAAGGCACACUGAGAAACAUUGGUUUAGAGCCUUUUAGUUCUAUUUCGGGUCAAUGCUCAUUCAACGACCAGCCUAUUUAGUUUGUAAAAGCCUCAGACACAUUUGUUAUUAUUACUAUUAUUAUUAUUAUUAUUAUUACUUAACAUAAUAGCUAGGAGUGUUCAAUGCACAGAGGAGGCUCUCAUGAGGCCCCAAGUCCAUUUGCUCAGUGAUAAAGGAGAGGAAGCAAAAGAAGAAGAUCUUCCCAGAGGUCCUCUGACUCCCUUUUAGACCUUCCAUCCUCUGCUCCAAGAGAGGGGUGGAGGCCACAGGAGGACAGAGCUAUCAGGGCACAGGAUGUCAAUUCUGACUGAAGAGUAUCCAUCCUUGUUCCAUUUUACCUCCCUUUUAACCGCACAACCAAUACAUGUGUGUCACAGAAAAUAAGAGAAUGUGGAUAAGCAAAAAGGUGACCAUAACCAUCACCCCUAAGUCUAGCCUCCAGAAAUUUGGAAUACUCCUUUGCAUUGCUCUGUGUCCCCCUAUAUGCAAGGAGUACCAUGAGGGAUCAAAAUUUAUCCUACUUUGUCUGAACCCCACAAAGAAGCCCUUGAUGUGUUCUGCAUGGCUGGAUUCCUUAACAAAUGCAUUUCAGCCAAGGCUUUAAAGUGGCAUAGCAGGGAUGCCUGGGAGGCUCAGCCUGUUAAAUGUCCAGCUCUUGGUUUCAGCUCAGGUCAUGAUGUCCCCAUCAGGAGAUCAAGCCCAGUGUUGAGCCCUCAGAGGAGCCCCCCCAACACUCCCCACUCUGUCGAGCCCACAUGGAACCCCGCGCUCAACAGGGAGUCUGCUCCAUGCCCUCCUGCUCAUGCACUCUCUCUCUGAAAUAAAUUAAAAAAAAACAUGGUAUAGCAUAAUCCCACUCAUAUUCCUAUAAUGACGGGGCCAGAUAGAAAUUAAGUCACUCGAUUUUAAAAUCGCACUUCUCAUACUUUCUUUACUUCCCUUUAUAGAACUCCCUAAAGCUCUUAACAAAAUACAGAACUUUCCCACAGAGACUCAGAAUAUAAGUUAGUGGCAAAAGUCUUUGAGAUCAAGAGUUCACCAGGUCCUGAGCUCCAUUUCUUACAGGGUCUCACAUUGUUUUUCUGUCACUUAUUUCUACACUUGGUCCUGAGUCUAAAUGAGAUGGAAUCCCAGCUCCAGACUACAAAUGUCCCCCCAGUUAGAAGUCGGAAUCAUCUGACCUUGCCUGAGAGAAUGAGAGGAGGAAGGUCAAGUGGGACGAGCCCAGCUCAGUUACAAACCUCACUGCUGGAACGGAGUAGUUGCUCAAGUACCCCAGGGUCAGUCCCAUUGGCCCCAGGCCCAGAUUUUCAUGGACUCAUUCUGGGUCCUAGAAGAGAGAGAGGACCGUGACUAGAAACCAGAAGACCAACUUUACCAAAACCUCCAAAGACUUCGGAGAGCUUGCCAAUCCUGCUUUGGUAACAUCUGAUGCAGAGAGAAAAUGGAGAGGUAUCCUCGCCCACAGUGCCACAGAUCCCGGAGCAGCUGUGGCCCAUUUGGUGCUCUGGGGUUUUGUUGCGAGCACCCAGCACUAUCUGCAGGGGUGGUGUCCAGGAGAGGGGUGGGUGCCUUGGGGACUGUGCGGAAGGCAGUGUUUCGCAGAGCGGGGCAGGCGUGGUGGAGCCCCGCAGUGGAGCGGGAGCCGGAGGCAGCAGGAUUUGACUUUAUAUAGAGUAGAGACGGUUGUACCUGCAGAACGCAGUGCUACCCCACAGGGCAUAAAAGCCUAAAACAUGGCAUUUUCCACAAGAAUUAUAACCAAGCGCACACGAGACACAAUAUGUGUGUGUAUGUGUACGUGUGAGUGUGUGGCAAACUCUAGAACAGACUUCAUGUCAGCCAUCACACCUAGUUCCUCUUCCCUAAAACCAGUCCCAGAAGUUCUUAUUAAAGUGAUAUAAUGAGGGGCGCAUAGGUGGCUCAGUCGGUAAGCAUCUGCCUUCCACUUGGGUCCUGGGAUCAAGUCCCACAUCGGGUUCCUUGCUUGGCAGGAAGCCUGCUUCUCCCUCUCCUACUCCCCCUGCUUGUGUUCUCUCUCACUGUGUCUCUCGAUCAAAUUAAAAAAUUCUUAAAAAAAUAAAAAAGAUAAAGUGAUGGUCUCUUCUGAUAUUUGACUAAGCUACUCAUAGACCCAAAUCCUUCCUCAAAGCCUAUAAUACCUGGAUUGGAUUCAGGAACCACCCCUUCCCAUUCCAGAAUUUCCGGGCUAAUAGUACUACUUAUCUUGUAUGGCUGUUAGGGGCAUUAAACAAUAUAAGACUUGAAAAGGGCUUGUAACAGUCCUGGGUACAUAGUCAGCCUUCCUCAGUAUCAACUCUAGUAUGACUGCUAUCUAAAUUUGUCUCCCAGUCAGGCCCCAUUCGCUGCUACCUUGUGGGCGGUGCAAGAGACUUAGGCUGAAAUUGUGAUUCAUCACUUACCAGCUAUAUGUCCUUGGACAGAUUAAUUAACUUCUUGGUAAUGUGAACUAGUGGAGCACAUUGGAUGCCAGACUUCGUCCCAGGGGCCACAGGCCCACGGAUGAGCAGCUUGAACACCACCCCAAACACCACCCUGCCUGGAAAACACUCCGUGCUGGUGGGUGGGAGACAGACGGCGAAAUAAGCAAAACAAACAAACAAACAAACCAGAGUCGUAAGGAUAGCCCGCCUCUCCAGCUGGAAUUAGACCAAUAGGUAACAGAGCGACCAACAAAUCAAUCAAGUAGAGAACCAUUAAAAAAAAAAUGUCAUCUACAUGUUUUAAAUGUUUUAUUUCAAUAGAAACAGAUUAGAAGUUGCCAGGGAAUAGACGAGGGGAGGGAAAGGAAUGAUUACUUAAAGGGUACAGGGUAUUCUAGGGUGAUGAGGUUUGAGACUAGAGAAAUGCGGUGGUUGUACAACACCAUGAAUGCACUAAACGCCACUGAGCUGUACACUUUAAAGAUGGUUAAUUGUAUGUUAUGUAAAAUUGUCCUCAAUAAAACAUUAUAUAAAUGGACAUUAUUUUACCACUAUUUUGGUGUAUAGCUAAGGACUCUUUAAGGAUGUGCCCAUAACUGAAGCCCCAAGGCAUCUUUCUGGCAUAAACCACACCCCCCCUCAAAUAUAUAUAUAUUUUUUCAGCCUAAAUUUCUUUAACUUAGGACAAGAACUUAGGUACCUACAAAUCUAUCUUAGAGUAGAAUCUGCUUAGAUUUGUGUUUUUUUUUUUUUUCCCAUUUAUAGCUUUUCCAUCCAUACAUAACAUGACAACAGUUUUUUAGCAGCUCACACUUAGGAGCCUACAUUAUUUUUUUUAAAUAAUGGCAACAACAUCUAUUUAGUGAGUGCUUACUCACUUCCUUACAUUUAAUCAUGGGCCCUUCCAUUCUGGGCCAUGACAAGACACAUGCCAGAACCGACUCCUGGAAAGAUCUGAGGACACAUGGGUUAUCACUGCAUCAAAACUAAUAACCCCUGUGGACCCAGACAAGCCUGUGGGAGAGGGAGAGGUAGAAAAACCUACCUGUCUCACUGUCUCACUGCUUCUGUGCCAAGUCCAGGAAUGGUGUUUUUGUCCUGUGACAUCUGAGAACAAGAAACAAAGGAGGAGGUCAUCAGAAGUCAAGGUAUGGUCUUAGGAGCAGUCAUUUCAAUAAAGGCACUGGCUUCAUUCUUGGAAAGAUUGACAGUCCGCGGGGUGCCUAGUCCCUUUGACUAAUAUUCUUGUUCUUGAGUCUGAUCUGUAGCUGUUUUGUUGUGUUUCAGCUCUGAGGGUAGUAGAAAUAAAUUAAAAUUUUAAAUAGCCCGCCCUCCCCUAAAAUGGCUUCAAUUCUAAUAUGAAAAUAAGUGUUUUGAUGAUCUGGUCAUCCACACUAGCUCUCACACCACUGACUGAGAGUUAACUGUCAUCAAAUAUCCAUCCGCCCAGGAGGAGUAACAGGUUAUGGCAGGUGAGUAAUUUGUUUGGUGAAUAAUACUAAAGCAAUUUAUUUUACAGUUUACUCUCUUGUGUCAGAGGAAUCAGCUAGUAGAGGAAGGACUAUGGACUAGUUCUUUAAACAUUUUUGUCUGUGGGGUGCCUGGGUGGCUCAGUAGGUUAAGGGACUGACUCUUGGUUUCGGCUGGAGUUAGGAUCUCAGGGUCGUGCGCUGGAGCCCUGUGUUGGGCUCUAGGCUGAGCGUGGAGUCUGCUUGGGAUUCUUUCCCUCCCCCUCUCCUUCUGCUUCUCCCUGUGCCUACACUCACUCACUCUCUCUUUCUCUCUCAAAUAAAUAAAUGAAGUCUUUAAAAUAUUUUUGUUUGUAAGUCUUCUGUCCCAUCCAUGUUAAGUUUAAACGUUUUUCAAAUUUAAUUUAUUAAUUAUAUUUCUUGUGCAUGAAUUACACGGUUAUGUCCUUUAGCCAUCUACCCACUGAGAUGUUGGUAAUAUUCAUAAAUACGUCUGAAUAAAUUUUCAUAUGUUUACAGAUGGUAACUAUGUUCCAUUUUGUGGUGAAUAGUCUUCCUUUUUUUUUAUCAUUAGUCAUUUUUAUUGUUUAGAAGUUAAAAAUCUUUUGUAACUGUGUCUGACCAUUUCAUUUCACUUCUAAUUUCUUCUCUUGCUCCAAUGAUAAGAAAAUUAUCACCUAAAGUGGGAUUAAAACCCCUAAUUUUCCCUUAGGAUUCCAUUCCCAACCAUCCUUCAGAUCUUACACUGACAUUCUCUGGGCCUUAGAGCCCAGGCCCCCUAACCCUUCAGUACAUUUUUUUCACAAAGGUUGAGCACUCGUGUUAGGACUUCAACAGAGCAGGUACCUGCAGAGUCCAUUGUUUACCUGUUUAGCCUGGAUUUAGAACUAUUUCUUAUGUUUGCUGAUAUCUGAGAGGGUCACGGCUUACUCCGUUCAGACCUAAGUUGGUGUCCGCAUUCACCCAUUCACCCACUCACUUAUUUACUCAUUCAUACAUGUAUGCAUUCAGACAUUUGUUGUAUGUAGCAACAGACUCACAUGUAGCCCCCAGUGAGCCCUGCUUUCUGGUGUUCACCCGUGAGGGUGGGCAGGACCUAUAUGUAUGACUUGCCUCUAAUAGCAGAAUAUAGUAGAGGUGACGCAGUGUCCCUCCUGUGAUUGUGUUACAUAACAAAGACUGUGUUGCUGGAACAUUCGACCUCGAGACGGACUUUGCAGCUUGAUGAAGUAAAGCAGCCGUGCUGGAGAAGCCCACGUGGUGAGGGGCUUUGGGCAACCUCCAGCCAACAGCCAGGAAGAAGCUGGAAUCCUUGGUCUUAGAGCAGCAAGGAAGUGAAUUCUGCCAAGAACGUGAGUGAGCGUGGAAGAGGUUGCUUCCCCGUUUGAGCCUCCAGGAGGGAGCACAGUCCAGAUGACACCUUGAUUGCAGUUUUGUAACACUAGAGAGCAAGAGCAAGAGUGUACAAACAAGGAGAGCAGCAGAGGGAGAGCGAGAAGCAGACUCCCCGCUGAGGAGGGAACCCAAUGUGGGACUCAAUCCCAGGACCCUGGGACCAUGACCUGAGCCACAGGCAGAUGCUUAGCCAUCUGAGCCACCUAGGGGCUCCGUCCUGAAGUGUUCCAAAGAAGAAGAAUGUAGCGGACUAAGGGUAAAAUUUAAUUCACAUCUUUGUGGGCUAUAUGCAAGUGUCAUAUAUAUAACUACGUGAAUAAAGGCAAUGGUAUGUUAA